AGACGCACAGCAUUGAAAUUCUGUUUCCUGCAUUUGACUCCACACCCACGACACCCGGAGCAUUACAGAAUCCCGCACCUAUCAAAUUGAAUGGAGUCAGCAGGAGCAGCAGCCAACCCUCUCCCAUCGAUGGAGGAACGGGUUCUCCACCACACCACCGUCCUCCAUCGGAUCGGAUCCGCGAUGGAUCAAGUGAUGGAGAGAAUGGACCGAUGGGAGAGGAGUGGUCUCCUCUCUCCACCUUCGGCACCCACGGUUCCGGACUCUCCAUCUCCCGACUCCAGCACCCUCCGUCUGACGCUACCGAAGGCUUAUGAUGGAGCUGCGGCGGGUUGCCAGGGGUUUCUGCUUCAGCUGGAGCUAUACCUGGCCACCAUCAGACCCACUCCCUCAGGAGCAGAGAGGGUGAGUGUCCUCAUCUCCUGCCUCACGGGUCGUGCUCUGGAGUGGGCGAACGCAGUCUGGAAUGGCCCAGACUCAGCGCGGGAGCACUACCCAGAGUUUUCCCGCCGCUUCCGUGCCGUGUUUGAUCACCCUCUAGACGGCCGAGCGGUGGGAGAACGACUAUUUCAUCUCAGGCAGGAGAGGAGGAGCGCCCAGGUUUACGCGCUGGAGUUCCGGACCUUGGCAGCCGGAUCUGGGUGGAACGACAGGGCCCUCAUGGACCACUACAGGUGUAGUCUCCGAGAGGACAUCCGCCGGGAGUUAGCGUGUCGGGACACCACUCUGUCACUGGAUCAGCUGAUUGACAUGUCCAUUCGACUGGAUAAUCUGCUGGCUGCCCGCGGGCGUUCAGAGAGGGUCCUGUGCAUUCCACCACCCAGCCCCUCCGCUCCCAUUCCGAUGGAGUUGGGAGGGGCUGCGCCGAGGGGUACCGGAGGAGGAGGCCUUCCCUGCACCAACUGUGGUCGGAGAGGACACACGUCUGAUCGGUGCUGGGGGUCCGUCUGGGAGUAGAGAUGGCAGGCGGAACGCUUCUCGGUCACCCCAGUGUGUGUUGGGGUACCAGCCGGUCCUGGCACCAUGGCAUCCGAGCCAGACCGAGGCUCCUGCGGUGGAGGAAUGGGUACAGCGCUCCAAGGAGACCUGGAGGGCCGUCCAGGACUCUCUACGACAAGCGAGUGGACGGCAGAGGAGGAGUGCUGACCGCCACCGCAGUGAGGCCCCCGUGUUUGUACCGGGGGACAGGGUCUGGCUCUCGACCCGAAACCUACCUCUCCGCUUGCCCUGCCGGAAGCUGGGUCCGCAGUGUGUAGGGCCCUUUAAAGUCC
Molecule: long non-coding RNA, 1271 nt
Organism: Oncorhynchus tshawytscha (Chinook salmon)
Lineage: Eukaryota; Metazoa; Chordata; Actinopteri; Salmoniformes; Salmonidae
Source: Ensembl